ACGGGAGGCAGCAGUGGGGAAUAUUGCACAAUGGGGGAAACCCUGAUGCAGCGACGCCGCGUGAGUGAAGAAGUUAUUCGUAAUGUAAAGCUCUAUCAGCAGGGAAGAAAAAAGACGGUACCUGACUAAGAAGCACCGGCUAAAUACGUGCCAGCAGCCGCGGUAAUACGUAUGGUGCAAGCGUUAUCCGGAUUUACUGGGUGUAAAGGGAGCGCAGACGGCUGUGCAAGUCUGAAGUGAAAUGCGGGGGCUCAACCCCUGAACUGCUUUGGAAACUGUAUAGCUUGAGUACAGGAGAGGUAAGUGGAAUUCCUAGUGUAGCGGUGAAAUGCGUAGAUAUUAGGAGGAACACCAGUGGCGAAGGCGGCUUACUGGACUGUAACUGACGUUGAGGCUCGAAAGCGUGGGGAGCAAACAGGAUUAGAUACCCUGGUA
RNAcentral lists this ribosomal RNA (435 nucleotides) under uncultured Ruminococcus sp. RNAcentral describes it as "partial 16S ribosomal RNA". It matches the Rfam family "Bacterial small subunit ribosomal RNA", at positions 341 to 792 of the family's 1533-position model. RNAcentral also lists the same sequence under 1 other name. The record is from RNAcentral. Lineage: Bacteria; Bacillati; Bacillota; Clostridia; Eubacteriales; Oscillospiraceae.